This 429-nucleotide ribosomal RNA is filed under the name Chloroflexota bacterium. RNAcentral describes it as "Chloroflexi bacterium partial 16S ribosomal RNA". It matches the Rfam family "Bacterial small subunit ribosomal RNA", at positions 355 to 776 of the family's 1533-position model. Lineage: Bacteria; Bacillati; Chloroflexota. The record is from RNAcentral.
UGGGGAUUAUUGCACAAUGGGCGCAAGCCUGAUGCAGCCAUGCCGCGUGUAUGAAGAAGGCCUUCGGGUUGUAAAGUACUUUCAGUCGGGAGGAAGGUGGUAAGGUUAAUAACCUUAUCAAUUGACGUUACCGACAGAAGAAGCACCGGCUAACUCCGUGCCAGCAGCCGCGGUAAUACGGAGGGUGCAAGCGUUAAUCGGAAUUACUGGGCGUAAAGCGCACGCAGGCGGUUGAUUGAGUCAGAUGUGAAAUCCCCGGGCUUAACCCGGGAAUUGCAUCUGAGACUGGUCAGCUAGAGGCUUGUAGAGGGGGGUAGAAUUCCAUGUGUAGCGGUGAAAUGCGUAGAGAUGUGGAGGAAUACCGGUGGCGAAGGCGGCCCCCUGGACAAAGACUGACGCUCAGGUGCGAAAGCGUGGGGAGCAAACAGG